CUCUUAUCAAGAGAGGUGGAGGGAUGUGCCCGAUGAAGCCCGGCAACCGUCAGCAGUGAGAACACUUGUUGAAAAGGUGCCAAUUCACACAAAGCGGUGCGCUUUGGCAGAUGAGAG
This 117-nucleotide non-coding RNA is filed under the name Bacillus thermotolerans. Its description in RNAcentral is "Quasibacillus thermotolerans SAM riboswitch aptamer (S box leader)". It matches the Rfam family "SAM riboswitch aptamer (S box leader)". Rfam says of the family: The SAM riboswitch is found upstream of a number of genes which code for proteins involved in methionine or cysteine biosynthesis in Gram-positive bacteria. The SAM riboswitch acts at the level of transcription termination control. Lineage: Bacteria; Bacillati; Bacillota; Bacilli; Caryophanales; Bacillaceae. The record is from Rfam by way of RNAcentral. RNAcentral also lists the same sequence under 1 other name.